GACGAACGCUGGCGGCGUGCUUAACACAUGCAAGUCGAACGGAAAGGCCCUGCUUUUGUGGGGUGCUCGAGUGGCGAACGGGUGAGUAACACGUGAGUAACCUGCCCUUGACUUUGGGAUAACUUCAGGAAACUGGGGCUAAUACCGGAUAGGAGCUCCUGCUGCAUGGUGGGGGUUGGAAAGUUUCGGCGGUUGGGGAUGGACUCGCGGCUUAUCAGCUUGUUGGUGGGGUAGUGGCUUACCAAGGCUUUGACGGGUAGCCGGCCUGGGAGGGUGACCGGCCACAUUGGGACUGAGAUACGGCCCAGACUCCUACGGGAGGCAGCAGUGGGAAAUAGUGCACAAUGGGCGGAAGCCUGAUGCAGCAACGCCGCGUGCGGGAUGACGGCCUUCGGGUUGGAAACCGCUUUCGCCUGUGACGAAGCGUGAGUGACGGUAAUGGGUAAAGAAGCACCGGCUAACUACGU
Molecule: ribosomal RNA, 467 nt
Filed under: uncultured bacterium
Lineage: Bacteria
Description: partial 16S ribosomal RNA
Rfam family: Bacterial small subunit ribosomal RNA
Source: RNAcentral